RNAcentral lists this ribosomal RNA (427 nucleotides) under uncultured bacterium. RNAcentral's name for it is "partial 16S ribosomal RNA". It matches the Rfam family "Bacterial small subunit ribosomal RNA", at positions 355 to 774 of the family's 1533-position model. The record is from RNAcentral.
UGGGGAAUAUUGCACAAUGGGCGCAAGCCUGAUGCAGCCAUGCCGCGUGUAUGAAGAAGGCCUUCGGGUUGUAAAGUACUUUCAGCGAGGAGGAAGGCGGUAAGGUUAAUAACCUUAUCGAUUGACGUUACUCGCAGAAGAAGCACCGGCUAACUCCGUGCCAGCAGCCGCGGUAAUACGGAGGGUGCAAGCGUUAAUCGGAAUUACUGGGCGUAAAGCGCACGCAGGCGGUCUGUCAAGUCGGAUGUGAAAUCCCCGGGCUCAACCUGGGAACUGCAUUCGAAACUGGCAGGCUAGAGUCUUGUAGAGGGGGGUAGAAUUCCAGGUGUAGCGGUGAAAUGCGUAGAGAUCUGGAGGAAUACCGGUGGCGAAGGCGGCCACCUGGACAAAGACUGACGCUCAGGUGCGAAAGCGUGGGGAGCAAACA